Mauremys mutica (yellowpond turtle) is the source of this 1155-nucleotide long non-coding RNA. RefSeq lists it as uncharacterized. The record is from RefSeq and is a predicted model, not a curated record. NCBI's taxonomy places the organism in Eukaryota, Metazoa, Chordata, Testudines, Geoemydidae. The transcript has 3 exons.
AUGCAGGGUAUUGGGCGCUAGAAUGGAGCGGUGUCUGUGGAUGUUCACGGGAUGGGAGAGGGAGGCAGGGAUGAGGGCAAGAUUAAAUGCACCAGUAGUGCUGUGUAGUGAUUGUAUUUGCUUGACUUUAUUAGUUUGCAGAGGAAUCAUCCAGGAGCCCUCGCCGGACGAGAAUAUGCAGAAGUGGACGUGAGCAGCCUGGGCAUCCUUCUGAGGAGACCUCAACAGUCUUCAGGGUCUGCCUUCUGCCUAACUGGCUGUGAGUAAGCGGUUUGGUGUGUCUGACCAGAGUCAUCUGUGCAGAGUGACUAUUUCAGUACCAAGGGAAAAGAAGUGACAAGUCAGAGUCUACUGCCCUCAUGCGAUGGAAAGCGAGCGAGAGUGAUGGGACUGCGAGAAUUAUUGAUGCCUUGAAAAAGCCGUACGACUGGGAAUGGAACAGUCAUCACUGUCAAUGAGAUAAGUGUCUGUUUUGGUGAUUGCUCUGCUCACGGCCCACCUUGCUCCUGAAAGGGAUGCCCCGUUUGCUGAGGCUGUGUUUGUAAGAAAAGGUUCCUGACUAGCUGUGGUUUUGAGAGAGAGAAGGUCCCUAUUUUUAGGGGCUGCUCAGUUUUCUGGCCAGGAGCAGUGUGUCCUACGCAGCAGAAGGUUGCAUCUAGGAGAAUGAGUCCAGGUGGUGAAUUGCUUGCCUUCCUCUCGUGUUUCUCUCUCUUCUCUAGUGUGUUGGCCAACACUCUUUCUCAAUCUGUCCUUGCCUUUCCUUGUGCCGUCUCCCUUCUUAGGAUAUUGGCAGGCGAGCUAGGUGUGCACCCCCACAGGUUGUGUCUUGGGAGCCAUAAAGAAGUAGGAGGGGACGAAAAUCAUGCAGGGCAGUCAGUGCGAGACUGGAGCGGUGACUGUUGGUGUUGUGGGGCUAAGACAGAUCGAAAGCGACGCAGGGAAGAGGGCCUUAAUUGGGCUCUAUGUAGUGCAGGAGUUCUCAAACUGGGGUUUAGGUCCCGUCAGGGGGCCGCAAGGUUGUUAUCUGGGGGGUUGUGAAAUGUCAUCCUCCAUCCUAAACAUCACUUGGCUUCCAGCAUUUAUAAUGGUGUUGAAUAUAUAAAAAGUGUUUUUAAUUUAUAAGGGGAGGGUCACACUCAGAAGCUUGAUAUGUAA